Molecule: non-coding RNA, 148 nt
Filed under: Nomascus leucogenys (northern white-cheeked gibbon)
Lineage: Eukaryota; Metazoa; Chordata; Mammalia; Primates; Hylobatidae
Source: Rfam by way of RNAcentral
GCCAGGUGUGGUGGCACACACCUGUAAUCCCAGCUACUCAGGAGGCUGAGGCAGGAGAAUUGCUUGAACCCAGGAGGUGGAGGUUGCAGUGAGCUGAGACCAUACCACUGCACUCCAGCCUGGGCAACAGAGCAAGACUCUGUCUCCA